RNAcentral lists this ribosomal RNA (159 nucleotides) under Parmelia homogenes. Its description in RNAcentral is "5.8S ribosomal RNA". It matches the Rfam family "5.8S ribosomal RNA". Rfam says of the family: 5.8S ribosomal RNA (5.8S rRNA) is a component of the large subunit of the eukaryotic ribosome. It is transcribed by RNA polymerase I as part of the 45S precursor that also contains 18S and 28S rRNA. Functionally, it is thought that 5.8S rRNA may be involved in ribosome translocation. Lineage: Eukaryota; Fungi; Ascomycota; Lecanoromycetes; Lecanorales; Parmeliaceae. The record is from RNAcentral.
AAAACUUUCAACAACGGAUCUCUUGGUUCCAGCAUCGAUGAAGAACGCAGCGAAAUGCGAUAAGUAAUGUGAAUUGCAGAAUUCAGUGAAUCAUCGAAUCUUUGAACGCACAUUGCGCCCCUCGGUAUUCCGGGGGGCAKGCCUGUUCAAGCGUCAUUA